AUUGAACGCUGGCGGCAGGCCUAACACAUGCAAGUCGAACGGUAACAGGAAGAAGCUUGCUUCUUUGCUGACGAGUGGCGGACGGGUGAGUAAUGCCUGGGAAACUGCCUGAUGGAGGGGGAUAACUACUGGAAACGGUAGCUAAUACCGCAUAACGUCGCAAGACCAAAGAGGGGGACCUUCGGGCCUCUUGCCAUCGGGUGUGCCCAGAUGGGAUUAGCUAGUAGGUGGGGUAACGGCUCACCUAGGCGACGAUCCCUAGCUGGUCUGAGAGGAUGAUCAGCCACACUGGAACUGAGACACGGUCCAGACUCCUACGGGAGGCAGCAGUGGGGAAUAUUGCACAAUGGGCGCAAGCCUGAUGCAGCCAUGCCGCGUGUAUGAAGAAGGCCUUCGGGUUGUAAAGUACUUUCAGCGGGGAGGAAGGGAGUAAAGUUAAUACCUUUACUCAUUGACGUUACCCGCAGAAGAAGCACCGGCUAACUCCGUG
This 490-nucleotide ribosomal RNA is filed under the name uncultured bacterium. RNAcentral describes it as "partial 16S ribosomal RNA". It matches the Rfam family "Bacterial small subunit ribosomal RNA", at positions 30 to 507 of the family's 1533-position model. The record is from RNAcentral.